This 587-nucleotide ribosomal RNA is filed under the name uncultured haloarchaeon. RNAcentral describes it as "bacterial SSU rRNA". It matches the Rfam family "Archaeal small subunit ribosomal RNA", at positions 335 to 921 of the family's 1478-position model. The record is from RNAcentral. Lineage: Archaea; Methanobacteriati; Methanobacteriota; Halobacteria; Halobacteriales; Halobacteriaceae.
GCAGGCGCGAAACCUUUACACUGUACGCAAGUGCGAUAAGGGGACUCCGAGUGUGAAGGCAUAGAGCCUUCACUUUUGUACACCGUAAGGUGGUGUACGAAUAAGGGCUGGGCAAGACCGGUGCCAGCCGCCGCGGUAAUACCGGCAGCCCGAGUGAUGGCCGAUAUUAUUGGGCCUAAAGCGUCCGUAGCUGGCCGGACAAGUCCGUUGGGAAAUCUGUUCGCUUAACGAGCAGGCGUCCAGCGGAAACUGUUCGGCUUGGGACCGGAAGACCUGAGGGGUACGUCCGGGGUAGGAGUGAAAUCCUGUAAUCCUGGACGGACCACCGGUGGCGAAAGCGCCUCAGGAGGACGGAUCCGACAGUGAGGGACGAAAGCUAGGGUCUCGAACCGGAUUUGAUACCCGGGUAGUCCUAGCUGUAAACGAUGCCCGCUAGGUGUGGCGCAGGCUACGAGCCUGCGCUGUGCCGUAGGGAAGCCGAGAAGCGGGCCGCCUGGGAAGUACGUCUGCAAGGAUGAAACUUAAAGGAAUUGGCGGGGGAGCACUACAACCGGAGGAGCCUGCGGUUUAAUUGGAUUCAACGCCGG